GGCACGAUGGCCGAGCGGUCUAAGGCGCUGGAAUCAGGCCCACUGAGAUAUCCAGUCCGAAAGGGCGUGAGUUCGAAUCUCACUCGUGUCA
This is a non-coding RNA of Melanogaster broomeanus, 91 nucleotides long. The record is from the annotation of a GenBank genome assembly. Lineage: Eukaryota; Fungi; Basidiomycota; Agaricomycetes; Boletales; Melanogastraceae.